RNAcentral lists this ribosomal RNA (373 nucleotides) under Rhizobium sp. Pang7. RNAcentral describes it as "bacterial SSU rRNA". It matches the Rfam family "Bacterial small subunit ribosomal RNA", at positions 406 to 788 of the family's 1533-position model. The record is from RNAcentral. Lineage: Bacteria; Pseudomonadati; Pseudomonadota; Alphaproteobacteria; Hyphomicrobiales; Rhizobiaceae.
UGAUGAAGGCCUUAGGGUUGUAAAGCUCUUUCACCGAUGAAGAUAAUGACGGUAGUCGGAGAAGAAGCCCCGGCUAACUUCGUGCCAGCAGCCGCGGUAAUACGAAGGGGGCUAGCGUUGUUCGGAAUUACUGGGCGUAAAGCGCACGUAGGCGGAUAUUUAAGUCAGGGGUGAAAUCCNUGCAGCUCAACUGCGGAACUGCCUUUGACUACUGGUGUAUCUUGAGUAUGGAAGAGGUAAGUGGAAUUCCGAGUCGUAGAGGUGAAAUUCGUAGAUAUUCGGAGGAACACCAGUGGCGACAGGCGGCUUGACUGGUCCAUUGACUGACGCUGCAGGUGCGAAAGCGUGGGGAGCAAACAGGNGUAGAUACCAU